This 497-nucleotide ribosomal RNA is filed under the name uncultured bacterium. RNAcentral's name for it is "partial 16S ribosomal RNA". It matches the Rfam family "Bacterial small subunit ribosomal RNA", at positions 28 to 507 of the family's 1533-position model. The record is from RNAcentral.
GAUGAACGCUGGCGGCGUGCCUAAUACAUGCAAGUCGAGCGAACAGACGAUGAGCUUGCUCCUCUGACGUUAGCGGCGGACGGGUGAGUAACACGUGUAUAACCUACCUAUAAUACUGGGAUAACUUCGGGAAACCGGUGCUAAUACCGGAUAAUAUAUUGUACCGCAUUGUUCUAUAGUGAAAGUCGGUUUUGCUGUCUCUUUUAGAUGGUUCCGCGCCGCAUUAGCUAGUUGGUAAGGUAACGGCUUACCAAGGCGACGAUGCGUAGCCGACCUGAGAGGGUGAGCGGCCACACUGGAAGUGAGACAGGGACCAGACUCCUACGGGAGGCAGCAGGAGGGAAUCGUCCGCAAUGGGCGAAAGCAUGACGGAGCAAGGGCGCGUGAGUGAUGAAGGUCUUCGGAGCGUAAAACGAUGUUAGUAGGGAAGAAAAAAAGUGUAAGAAAGUAUGCACGGAAUGACGGUAACGAAAAAGAAAGCAACGGCUAACUACGUG